This 253-nucleotide ribosomal RNA is filed under the name uncultured prokaryote. Its description in RNAcentral is "partial 16S ribosomal RNA". It matches the Rfam family "Bacterial small subunit ribosomal RNA", at positions 524 to 776 of the family's 1533-position model. The record is from RNAcentral.
UACAGAGGGGGCAAGCGUUGUUCGGAAUUACUGGGCGUAAAGGGCGCGUAGGCGGCCAACUAAGUCAAACGUGAAAUCCCCCGGCUCAACCGGGGAACUGCGUCUGAUACUGGAUGGCUUGAAUCCGGGAGAGGGAUGUGGAAUUCCAGGUGUAGCGGUGAAAUGCGUAGAUAUCUGGAGGAACACCGGUGGCGAAGGCGGCUUUCUGGACAGAUACCGACGCUGAGGCACGAAAGCUAGGGGAGCAAACAGG